Molecule: ribosomal RNA, 200 nt
Filed under: uncultured bacterium
Lineage: Bacteria
Description: partial 16S ribosomal RNA
Rfam family: Bacterial small subunit ribosomal RNA
Source: RNAcentral
AGAGUUUGAUCCUGGCUCAGAUUGAACGCUGGCGGCAUGCCUUACACAUGCAAGUCGAACGGCAGCACGGGUGCUUGCACCUGGUGGCGAGUGGCGAACGGGUGAGUAAUACAUCGGAACGUGUCCUGUAGUGGGGGAUAGCCCGGCGAAAGCCGGAUUAAUACCGCAUACGAUCUGAGGACGUAGUAAGGCGGGGAAAG